UCUCCCUGCCUUUCAGGCAUCCUCUCCCAAAACUUUUCAGGCCCGGCUGGUUCAUCCAACCGGGCCUUUUUUCUUGUCCCG
RNAcentral lists this small RNA (81 nucleotides) under Erythrobacter sp. EC-HK427. RNAcentral's name for it is "Makes More Granules Regulator RNA (mmgR)". It matches the Rfam family "Makes More Granules Regulator RNA (mmgR)". Rfam says of the family: SuhB later renamed mmgR (makes more granules regulator) was a putative non-coding RNA found multiple times in the Agrobacterium tumefaciens genome and related alpha-proteobacteria. Other non-coding RNAs uncovered in the same analysis include: speF, ybhL, metA, and serC. Lineage: Bacteria; Pseudomonadati; Pseudomonadota; Alphaproteobacteria; Sphingomonadales; Erythrobacteraceae. The record is from Rfam by way of RNAcentral.